Molecule: long non-coding RNA, 5536 nt
Filed under: Medicago truncatula (barrel medic)
Lineage: Eukaryota; Viridiplantae; Streptophyta; Magnoliopsida; Fabales; Fabaceae
Description: long non-coding RNA (MTRU_LNC005861)
Source: RNAcentral
AAGGAAUGUCUCACAAAAAAUGACAAAGUUUUUGCCUCAAGACCUAAUGUAGCAGCAGGGAGAUACUUAGGUUACAACAAUGCUAUUUUAGCUCUUGCUCCUUAUGGAGAUUAUUGGCGAUACAUGAGAAAAAUUUCAACUCUUGAGCUUUUAUCAAGUCAUAGGCUUGAAAAGCUAAAGCAUGUUAGAGAUUUUGAGAUAUAUUCUCUAGUAAAAAAUUUGUACACAUUUGUGAAAAAAACAAAUGGUUCAAUUGAAGUACCUAUUAGCAAGUUUUUAGAUCAUAUGACAUUUAAUAUAAUUGUGAAGAUGAUAGCUGGUAAAAGAUUUAGUGGUGAAACAAUAAAUCAAGAAGAUAGUGAGGCAUGGAGAUUAAGAAAUGCAAUUAAAGAUACUACAUAUCUAUGUGGUGUUUUUGUUAUGGCUGAUGCUAUUCCUAGCCUAAGUUGGAUUGAUUUUCAAGGCCAUGUUGGUUUCAUGAAGAGGACUGCUAAGGAAAUGGAUUUCAUUCUUGAUAAGUGGUUGAGUGAACAUUAUAAAAAGAGAGAUGAAGUACAAAGUGGUAAGGAGGAUGAUUUCAUGGAUGUAUUGAUAUCAAUGUUUGAAGAAGAUGAUGAAAUUUGUGGCCACAAACGGGAGACAGUUAUCAAAGCAACAACCUUGGUACGUUUUUCUUCAUGCUUAUAUUAAGUACUAAAAUUUGAAAGUAAUAUGUCCAUCAAUUAUCUUUUUUUGGUGGUGUCCGGGAUUCGAAUAUCAUAUCUUACAUAUAUUAUGUAUUGUCCAUCAAUUAUCUAUCAAUAAUAAAUCAUUUCAAGAGUGAAAACAAUUUCACAAGCAAUUUAUAGUAUUUUUAAAAACCAUAACCUAAUCCAUAGAACUUUUUUUUCUUGACCGAACUAAUCCAAAGAAUUGAAAACCGUACAAAACUGAAUAUUAUUUUAUAUAUAUUUGGAUGUUUUUUUUUUUAAUAGAAACCGUUCAUAUCAUAUCUCAUAUUCCUUCUUAAAAUUUAAACCAAACUAGAAACAUAUAUCAUAAUACUUAUUUUCUUAUUAAUGUGAUAUAUUGCAAUAUGAAUCUAUUACUUGAUGACUUUUUAUUUAUUUAAUAAUACUCAUAGUCUAAUUUAAUCUAUUUUUUUUCUUCUAUUUCACAUAUUUCAAACAUAAUCGAUCAUUGUCAUUCAUUAAUGUUAAUUUUCAGUAUAUUAUAUGUUACAUUUUACACCAAAUAUAGUACUUUACCAUGUUUUUAUAAUAUUCAUAAAAAAUUUACAAUUUUAAUUUAGGUAUCCAAAAAUCGACUCAAAUUAAACUGCAAUGAAUUAUCAAUUUUUUUUAAAGAAGUCGUCCAAAUUGAACCUCGUAUUAUUUUGUCUAUCGAUUGAAUGAUUUUUUGCUUCAAAAUCGAUCUAGACCGACCGCGAAUACCUUAUAUUGAAUUUUGAAGUGCAAGGUCUUGCUCAAGUAACUAACCUUGCAAAUAUUUUUCAUUUGUUAUUUAGGCCUAAAUGAAGUUUUAAUCUCCAUAUGUUAUUUGUUACACGGCUUUAGUCCUUCUAUUUCUAAAUACAAAAAUAUACUUAAUCAGUUUUGAAAGUUUCAAAUUUUUUCACCAUUAAAUAUCAUACUUAUUUUUACUAAUGUAUAUAUCAUGUUAAAUAAAUAUGAGUUGUACACACAGGUUGCAUUCGAGACUUCUAAAUGAUCUAUGUAUACCCAUGCUUUCAUAUACACCUUGAGAGAGAACAAAAAUAGAGAAAACGAUACAAUAGAAAGCGAGAUAUAGAGAAAAUUAGAUGUUACAUGAGUAUCAAGGAACUAUCUGUGAAAAAAACUUCACCUAUAUGAUAAAAUAGUCAAGACCAUAAUUUCCACAUCCAUAUAUAAAUUUGUUUGGCCUAAUAUAUAGAGCUGUCAAAACGGGCGGCCCGGCCCGUUUAGGCCUGGCCCGGCCGGGCCAAGGGAUUUUAAGGGCCGGGCUAAAAAGCCCGGUUUGAAUAUGGGCUGCAAAAAAUGAGCCCGAUCCCGGCCCUAUACAGGCUCCCGGGCUAACGGGCCGGCCCUGGCCCGUAUUUUUUUCUUCCCUUUUCCAUUCUUUUAAGUACGGAACAUACAUAAAUAUGCCGGGCCAGCCCGGGCCCGUAUCAGUCUCUCACACACACAGAUCACAAAAAAAAAAAAAGUUGUAUUUUUUGCGGGCUUCCGGGCAGCCCGAAGCCCGGACGGGCUAGCCCUAACGAGCCAAGGGCUUUUACGGGCCGAGCUAAAAAGCCCUCUUCAAUUUCGGGCUCCAAUUAUUCGGCCCAAGCCCUACAUUUUAUUCGGGCUUUUGGACCGGCCCUUACGGCCCGGCCUAUUUUGACAGCUCUACUAAUAUAAGACUUUGAUUAAAUAUGUCUGUUCUAAAAACUUCACCUAUAUGAUAUAAUUUUUUUUUCUUUUCUGACAAUUAUUUUGCUUGCAGAUUCUUAUCCUUACAGCCUCAGGAAGUACAUCAAUAACAUUAGGAUGGGCUCUUUCCCUACUUAUAAAUCAUCCAAAGGUCUUAAAACAAGCAAAAGAAGAGUUGGACACAAACAUAGGAAAAGACAAAUGGGUCCAAGAAUCUGACAUCAAAAACCUUAAAUAUCUUCAAGCCAUUAUCAAAGAGACACUUCGUUUAUACCCACCAGCACCCUUAACAGGAAUAAGAGAAGCCACUGAUGAUUGCCACGUGGCAGGCUACAAAGUCACCAAAGGCACUCGUUUGUUUAUUAACCUAUGGAAAUUGCAAAGGGACCCACUAGUAUGGUCCAACCCUAAUAAAUUUCAACCUGAGAGGUUUUUCAAUAUUCAUGAUCAAAUUGAUAAUUUUCAGAAUCAAGAAUUUGGAUAUUUGCCAUUUAGUUAUGGAAGAAGGUCAUGUGCUGGUGCAACGUUUGGAAUGCAAGUCUUGCAUUUGACUUUGGCUAGGUUGAUUCAAGGGUUUGAUAUAAACACAAAAGAUGGUGGUCCAGUUGAUAUGAUUGAAGGAGUAGGAUUGGCAUUGCCUAAGGAAAAUCCACUUGAUGUUAUGCUCCAACCACGUCUCCCAUUGGAACUUUAUGAAAGCCUUUGAUAUUUGUAUCAAGUGUCAAAAGAAAAUAUAAAAUAUAGUUUUUUUUUUCUUUUCUGAUAAAAUAUAUUGUUUGAAUAAUAUGAUAUGAGAUGGGAGCUCAUGAAUAAUCAUAUCUCUAGAAAUAUACAAUAAUGUAAUGUACUUUUUAUUUUGGAAAUGUCUCAAGAUCCACAUGAAUGCUAGAAAUUAUAUAAUACACUAUGUAAGCAUCUUUGGUGUUUAACAAGUGUUGACACAAAGACAGGAAAUCGACAAAUCUAGAUACAUUACAUCACAUAUCUCUUUUAUAAAUUAGUAUAGCUAUUUAUGAGUCAGUGUCGUGCAUGUAUUUGGGGGUGUGAGAAUAAGUCAAGCUACACGAUAGGUAUCUAUAACUUAUUAUCGUCUGAUUCGGUUUUGCCCGUUUAAUAAAAAAAUUAGGUUCAAACACUUUAAAAAAUUUAUUAUUUAAAUAGUUCAGAUUUAAGAUAUUUAAAAAGCCAAUUAGGUAUACAGAAGGAACUACGCGACAACAAUGUUUGCAAUGUUUUGAAGAUUUUUUUUCCCCUAAACACAUUUGGAUUAUAGAAUACCAAAAGGAAACAAUAUUGCAUUAGCACACAACACAUGUAUUCAAAAUCAUGUACAAAUAUAUUUUACAAAUCAACUGAAUAUAUAUAAAUAGGGCUAAUGAACCCAUAAACUCUCAGUAUCAUAGUUUUAAAAUUCGGCUCGGUCAUCGACUCGGCGGGGAUACUGGAUCAAUGGAUCAAUGGUCGAACCACUGAGUCAUUGGUCGAACCGCAUGACUAAAUCGGAACCACUCGGAUGACUCGGUUAGAUAACUCGGUUCUUAGAUUAAAUUUAUAUAGUUAUUUAACCGGAUUAACUCGGAUUGAAUCGGUGACUCGGUCACUUUAGAAACUAAAAUAAUUAAUGAGUGUUGUAAUUUAAAAAAUGUUUACAUUUAAGGACAAAAAUAAAAUCAAAUGGAUGUUUAAAUAUAUGGACGAAGAUAGUAAUACAUAUUCAAAUAAAUAUAGUAAAAUAAAACUAUUCUUUCAAAAAAAAAAAUAUUGUAAAAAAAAUGUUUAUUAAAAUAUUUGAGAUGUCGGACAAUAAUAUUUAAAUGAUAAGAGUGUGCUUGGUUCCUUAAAAUAAAAAAGAGUGUUUGGUUUCCUUUAAAAAAAACUGUUCAGUUAUUAUAUAUAAUUGAUAAGAAGAUCUACACAGCUCAGUGGGUAAAGGGAAUGCAUUGCAAUCUAAGAGACGCGGGUUCAACUCCCUGCACUGCCAUUUUUUGGAAAAUUAAUAUGAUUUAAUUUAUGUUUCACGUUGCCGGUUCACCGUUUUUUCACGAGUUUGGUCGGUUCCGGCUGGUUUGAUUGCAUGACCGAUCCGUUUAUCAACUCGAACCGGUCAUCCCACCGGUUCACGGUCGGACCGGUUCAACCGGCCGGUCCGGUCCAGUUUUCAAAACUAUGCUCAGUAUGUAAAAGAAAAGUUAUGCUUAGUACACAAUAUUUUUUGGCAACUCUUUUGUCUUUACUUCAACAAAUAUUCUGGGAAUCAAACAGAUAAAUGCUUAUCCAAUGCAAGAAAUAAUAUAAAGAAAUAAAGGUCCAAGUGGUAGUUGGUAUUUAUACUAAAAAAGUAGUUCAAGCAUGGUUAAUUUUCCUUGCUUAGUGAAAUACGUGGUAGGGUAAAUAUUAGAACAUAUAUGGCCAUUUUUCUCCGCUCAUUUACUCUCAUUGGUUUCAAGUCACAUCCAAGAAAAAGUAUAUGGCUAAAAUAGUGUCAUACUCAUAUAUAGUAGUUGUUUUUCUAUCCUUGUCCUUUUCGUUAAUCAACUAUCUUCCACACCAAUUUAAUUUUUGAUGCAUUAAUUCUUGAAACCACUAAAAGAAAACAAUGAUAGUUAUCUUCUCAAAAAUCAUGUAACACAUCUUUACUCCCACAAAAAUGGAUAAUUUCUAUACACAACCAGCAACUAUAGUACUAGCUAUACUUUUAGUGCUUCUAUACAACAUAUGGAGGGUAAAAAAACCUAGUAACAAAUUCAAGGGUAUGAAACCACCAGAACCAUCAUAUGCCUUACCUUUAAUAGGUCACCUCCAUCUACUAGGAAACCAAAUCCCUCUUGCAAGAAUCUUUGCUUCAUUUUCAGACAAAUAUGGUCCUAUCUUCCAAAUCCAUUUUGGAGCAUACCCUGCACUUAUUAUUUCCAACAAAGAAGCAAUCAAAGAAUGUUUCACUACAAAUGACAAAAUCUUAGCCUCAAGACCAAAGUCAAGUCAUGGAAUUCACCUAGGUUAUAACUAUGCUGGCUUUGGUUUUGCACCUUAUGGCCCAUAUUGGACCAAGCUAAGAAAAUUAACCAUGCUUGAACUACUUUCGUCUCGUCGCCUUGAAUCGUUGAGACAUGUUUAUGAAUCGGAGAUCGAUACUUUGAUAA